RNAcentral lists this transfer RNA (75 nucleotides) under Rhodospirillales bacterium. RNAcentral's name for it is "tRNA-Val". It matches the Rfam family "tRNA". Rfam says of the family: Transfer RNA (tRNA) molecules are approximately 80 nucleotides in length. The record is from RNAcentral. Lineage: Bacteria; Pseudomonadati; Pseudomonadota; Alphaproteobacteria; Rhodospirillales.
GGGCGCUUAGCUCAGGGGGAGAGCGCUUGCUUGACAUGCAAGAGGUCGAUGGUUCAAAUCCAUCAGCGCCCACCA